RNAcentral lists this ribosomal RNA (332 nucleotides) under uncultured bacterium. RNAcentral describes it as "bacterial SSU rRNA". It matches the Rfam family "Bacterial small subunit ribosomal RNA", at positions 568 to 898 of the family's 1533-position model. The record is from RNAcentral.
CGUGUAGGCGGCCUUUUAAGUCAGACGUGAAAUCCAUGGGCUUAACCCAUGAAUUGCGUUUGAAACUGGAGGGCUUGAGGAUCGGAGAGGGCAGUGGAAUUCCCAGUGUAGCGGUGAAAUGCGUAGAUAUUGGGAGGAACACCAGUGGCGAAGGCGACUGCCUGGACGAAACCUGACGCUGAGGCGCGAAAGCUAGGGGAGCAAACGGGAUUAGAUACCCCGGUAGUCCUAGCCGUAAACGAUGGGUACUAGGUGUGGGAGGUAUCGACCCCUUCCGUGCCGCAGUUAACACAAUAAGUACCCCGCCUGGGGAGUACGGCCGCAAGGUUGAA